ACGAACGCUGGCGGCGUGCUUAACACAUGCAAGUCGAACGGAAAGGCCUUUCGGGGUACUCGAGUGGCGAACGGGUGAGUAACACGUGGGUGAUCUGCCCUGCACUUCGGGAUAAGCCUGGGAAACUGGGUCUAAUACCGGAUAUGACUGCGAAUCGCAUGGUUUGUGGUGGAAAGCUUUUGCGGUGUGGGAUGGGCCCGCGGCCUAUCAGCUUGUUGGUGAGGUUAUGGCUUACCAAGGCGACGACGGGUAGCCGGCCUGGGAGGGUGUCCGGCCACACUGGGACUGAGAUACGGCCCAGACUCCUACGGGAGGCAGCAGUGGGGAAUAUUGCACAAUGGGCGCAAGCCUGAUGCAGCGACGCCGCGUGAGGGAUGACGGCCUUCGGGUUGUAAACCUCUUUCAGUAGGGACGAAGCGGAAGUGACGGUACCUACAGAAGAAGCACCGGCCAACUACGU
This 460-nucleotide ribosomal RNA is filed under the name uncultured bacterium. RNAcentral's name for it is "bacterial SSU rRNA". It matches the Rfam family "Bacterial small subunit ribosomal RNA", at positions 29 to 506 of the family's 1533-position model. The record is from RNAcentral.